Molecule: ribosomal RNA, 274 nt
Filed under: uncultured bacterium
Lineage: Bacteria
Description: partial 16S ribosomal RNA
Rfam family: Archaeal small subunit ribosomal RNA
Source: RNAcentral
AAACCAGCACCUCAAGUGGUCAGGAUGAUUAUUGGGCCUAAAGCAUCCGUAGCCUGCUCUGUAAGUUUUCGGUUAAAUCUGUACGCUCAACUUACAGGCUGCCGGGAAUACUGCAGAGCUAGGGAGUGGGAGAGGUAGACGGUACUCGGGAGGAAGUGGUAAAAUGCUUUGAUCUCUCGAUGACCACCUGUGGCGAAGGCGGUCUACCAGAACACGUCCGACGGUGAGGGAUGAAAGCUGGGGGAGCAAACCGGAUUAGAUACCCCUGUAGUCC